CCCUUAGAUGUCCUGGGCCGCACGCGCGUUACACUGAUGCAUUCAACGAGCUUAUAACCUUGGCCGAGAGGCCUGGGCAAUCUUGUUAACGUGCAUCGUGAUAGGGAUAGAUUAUUGAAAUUAUUAAUCUUGAACGAGGAAUUCCUAGUAAACGCAGAUCAUCAAUCUGCAUUGAUUACGUCCCUGCCCUUUGUACACACCGCCCGUCGCACCUACCGAUUGAAUGGCUUAGUGAGAUUUCCGGAUCGGCGUUGGGGAGCCGGCAACGGCACCCCUUGGCUGAGAAGUUACUCAAACUUGGUCAUUUAGAGGAAGUAAAAGUCAUAACA
RNAcentral lists this ribosomal RNA (329 nucleotides) under uncultured eukaryote. RNAcentral describes it as "partial 18S ribosomal RNA". It matches the Rfam family "Eukaryotic small subunit ribosomal RNA", at positions 1470 to 1796 of the family's 1831-position model. The record is from RNAcentral.